This 484-nucleotide ribosomal RNA is filed under the name uncultured bacterium. RNAcentral describes it as "partial 16S ribosomal RNA". It matches the Rfam family "Bacterial small subunit ribosomal RNA", at positions 30 to 507 of the family's 1533-position model. The record is from RNAcentral.
AUUGAACGCUGGCGGCAGGCCUAACACAUGCAAGUCGAGCGGAUGAAGGGUUCUUGCUCCUGGAUUCAGCGUCGGACGGGUGAGUAAUGCCUAUUUAUCUGCCUUGUAUUGGUGUAUAACGUCCGGAAACGGGCGCUAAUACCGCAUACGUCCUGAGGGUGAUAGUGUGGGUUCUUCGGACCUCCCGCUCUCAGAUGUGCCUAGGUCGGAUUAGCUAGUUGGUUGGGUAAAGGCCUACCAAGGCGACGAUCCGUAACUGGUAUGAGAGGAUGAUCAGUCACACUGGAACUGAGACACGGAACAGACUCCUACGGGAGGCAGCAGUGGGGAAUAUUGGACAAUGGGCGAAAGCCUGAUACAGCAAUGCCGCGUGUGAGAAGAAGGUCUUAGGAUUGGAAAGCACUUUAAGGAGGGAGGAAGGGAAGUAAGUGAAUAACUUGCUGUAUUGACGUGACCAACAGAAUAAGCACCGGCUAACUACGUG